RNAcentral lists this ribosomal RNA (301 nucleotides) under uncultured bacterium. Its description in RNAcentral is "partial 16S ribosomal RNA". It matches the Rfam family "Bacterial small subunit ribosomal RNA", at positions 509 to 807 of the family's 1533-position model. The record is from RNAcentral.
CAGCCGCCGCGGUAAUACAGAGGGUGCGAGCGUUAAUCGGAUUUACUGGGCGUAAAGCGUGCGUAGGCGGCUUCUUAAGUCAGGGGUGAAAUCCCGAGGCUCAACCUCGGAACUGCCUUUGAUACUGGGGUCCUCGAGUCCGGAAGAGGUGAGUGGAACUGCGAGUGUAGAGGUGAAAUUCGUAGAUAUUCGCAAGAACACCGGUGGCGAAGGCGGCUCACUGGUCCGGAACUGACGCUGAGGCACGACAGCGUGGGGAGCAAACAGGAUUAGAUACCCCCGUAGUCCCUGUCUCUUAUAC